RNAcentral lists this ribosomal RNA (389 nucleotides) under uncultured bacterium. RNAcentral's name for it is "bacterial SSU rRNA". It matches the Rfam family "Bacterial small subunit ribosomal RNA", at positions 28 to 416 of the family's 1533-position model. The record is from RNAcentral.
GACGAACGCUGGCGGCGUGCCUAACACAUGCAAGUCGAACGGGACCAGGGGCAACUCUGGUUCAGUGGCGGACGGGUGCGUAACACGUGAGGAACAUGACUUUCGGCGGGGGAGUAGCCGGCCCAACGGCCGGGUAAGUACCGCGUACGACCUGUUGGGGACAUCCCCGAUUGGUGAAAGCAGCAAUGCGCCGAAAGAGUGCCUCGCGGCCUAUCAGCUAGUUGGUGGGGUAAUGGCUCACCAAGGCGACGACGGGUAGCUGGUCUGAGAGGAUGGCCAGCCACAUUGGGACUGAGACACGGCCCAGACUCCUACGGGAGGCAGCAGUGGGGAAUAUUGCGCAAUGGGCGAAAGCCUGACGCAGCGACGCCGCGUGUGGGAUGACGGCC